GUCUUUUUGAGUUAUUUUUAAAGUCUGACCUGCCCACUGAAUUUUUAAAUGGCCGCAGUAUUCUAACUGUGCAAAGGUAGCAUAAUCAUUAGUCUUUUAAUUGAAGGCUGGUAUGAACGGUUGGACGAGGUAUUAACUGUUUCAUAUAUAUUUAUGUUAGAAUUUUAUUUUUUAGUUAAAAAGCUAAAAUGAUGUUAAAAGACGAGAAGACCCUAUAAAUCUUUAUAUUUUUUAUAUUUUAAAUUUUUUGGAUUUAUUUUAUUUUUAUUAUAGAAAAUAUUUUGUUGGGGUGAUGUUAAAAUUUAAUGAACUUUUAAUUAUUUAGAAUCAUUAAUUUAUGAAUUGUUGAUCCAUUAUUAGUGAUUAUAAGAUUAAGUUACUUUAGGGAUAACAGCGUAAUUUUUUUGGAGAGUUCAUAUCGAUAAAAAAGUUUGCGACCUCGAUGUUGGAUUAAGAUAUAAUUUUAGGUGUAGCCGUUUAAAUGUUAAGUCUGUUCGACUUUUAAAUUCUU
RNAcentral lists this ribosomal RNA (511 nucleotides) under Dacus xanthinus. RNAcentral's name for it is "partial 16S ribosomal RNA". The stretch from base 387 to 511 matches the Rfam family "Bacterial large subunit ribosomal RNA", at positions 2473 to 2597 of the family's 2925-position model. RNAcentral also lists the same sequence under 1 other name. Lineage: Eukaryota; Metazoa; Arthropoda; Insecta; Diptera; Tephritidae. The record is from RNAcentral.